GUGCCUAUAGCUUAAGGGUAAAGCUCCGCGCUGUGGCCGCGGUGAUACGGGUUCGAGGCCCGUUAGGCACC
RNAcentral lists this transfer RNA (71 nucleotides) under Candidatus Azambacteria bacterium. Its description in RNAcentral is "tRNA-His". It matches the Rfam family "tRNA". Rfam says of the family: Transfer RNA (tRNA) molecules are approximately 80 nucleotides in length. Their secondary structure includes four short double-helical elements and three loops (D, anti-codon, and T loops). Lineage: Bacteria; Candidatus Azamiibacteriota. The record is from RNAcentral.